AUUGAACGCUAGCGGGAUGCUUUACACAUGCAAGUCGAACGAGUGGCGGACGGGUGAGUAAUAUAUCGGAACGUGCCCAGUAGCGGGGGAUAACUACUCGAAAGCGUGGCUAUUCCCGCAUACUAUUGGAACGGCCCAUAUUGGAUUAGCUAGUUGGUGGGGUAAAGGCUCACCAAGGCAACGAUCCGUAGCUGGUUUGAGAGGACGACCAGCCACACUGGGACUGAGACACGGACCAGGCUCCUUCGUGAGUCAGCAGUGGGGGAUGAUGGACAAUGGAUGAAACCCUGAUCCAGCCAGCCCGCGUGUGUGAGAAGGCCUUCGGGUUGUAAAUUACUUUUGGCAGAGAAGCGGUAUCUGCAGAAUAAGCACCGGCUAACUACGUGCCAGCAGCCGCGGUAAUAC
This 405-nucleotide ribosomal RNA is filed under the name uncultured bacterium. RNAcentral describes it as "partial 16S ribosomal RNA". It matches the Rfam family "Bacterial small subunit ribosomal RNA", at positions 30 to 526 of the family's 1533-position model. The record is from RNAcentral.